RNAcentral lists this ribosomal RNA (765 nucleotides) under uncultured Streptococcus sp. RNAcentral describes it as "bacterial SSU rRNA". It matches the Rfam family "Bacterial small subunit ribosomal RNA", at positions 28 to 776 of the family's 1533-position model. Lineage: Bacteria; Bacillati; Bacillota; Bacilli; Lactobacillales; Streptococcaceae. The record is from RNAcentral.
GAUGAACGCUGGCGGCGUGCCUAAUACAUGCAAGUAGAACGCUGAAGCUUGGUGCUUGCACCGAGCGGAAGAGUUGCGAACGGGUGAGUAACGCGUAGGUAACCUGCCUCUUAGCGGGGGAUAGCUAUUGGAAACGAUAGCUAAUACCGCAUAAAAGUCGGCAUUGCAUGAUGUUGACUUGAAAGGUGCAAAUGCAUCACUAAGAGAUGGACCUGCGUUGUAUUAGCUAGUUGGUGAGGUAACGGCUCACCAAGGCGACGAUACAUAGCCGACCUGAGAGGGUGAUCGGCCACACUGGGACUGAGACACGGCCCAGACUCCUACGGGAGGCAGCAGUAGGGAAUCUUCGGCAAUGGACGGAAGUCUGACCGAGCAACGCCGCGUGAGUGAAGAAGGUUUUCGGAUCGUAAAGCUCUGUUGUAAGAGAAGAACGAGUGUGAGAGUGGAAAGUUCACACUGUGACGGUAACUUACCAGAAAGGGACGGCUAACUACGUGCCAGCAGCCGCGGUAAUACGUAGGUCCCGAGCGUUAUCCGGAUUUAUUGGGCGUAAAGCGAGCGCAGGCGGUUAGAUAAGUCUGAAGUUAAAGGCUGUGGCUUAACCAUAGUACGCUUUGGAAACUGUUUAACUUGAGUGCAGAAGGGGAGAGUGGAAUUCCAUGUGUAGCGGUGAAAUGCGUAGAUAUAUGGAGGAACACCGGUGGCGAAAGCGGCUCUCUGGUCUGUAACUGACGCUGAGGCUCGAAAGCGUGGGGAGCAAACAGG